This 250-nucleotide ribosomal RNA is filed under the name uncultured bacterium. RNAcentral's name for it is "partial 16S ribosomal RNA". It matches the Rfam family "Bacterial small subunit ribosomal RNA", at positions 517 to 766 of the family's 1533-position model. The record is from RNAcentral.
GCGGUAAUACGUAGGGGGCAAGCGUUAUCCGGAUUUACUGGGUGUAAAGGGAGCGUAGACGGCAAGGCAAGUCUGAAGUGAAAGCCCGGUGCUUAACGCCGGGACUGCUUUGGAAACUGUUUAGCUGGAGUGCCGGAGAGGUAAGCGGAAUUCCUAGUGUAGCGGUGAAAUGCGUAGAUAUUAGGAAGAACACCAGUGGCGAAGGCAGCCUGCUAAGCUGCAACUGACAUUGAGGCUCGAAAGUGUGGGU